AAUUUUCUUAGAGUAGGGGCGAUACUUCAGAAGCACGAGGAGACUUAGCAACGUUUCAGAACUGAAGGGUUACCCUGUGUUCCUGUGUCUGAAGUUCUUCCUGCUGCUACAACCAAGCUACAACUAAGGAGUAACAUAUUUCACAGGUUCUCUAGCUUCAACACCUUUCCAGAGAGCCAGUUGUCAAGCAUCUUCAGCACACCAAUAUAAACAACAUGUCAUGCUAAGCAAUGACUGUUCUUGGGUAAGAGAAUCUAACAGGGGUGCCUGGCUGGG
This 276-nucleotide long non-coding RNA is filed under the name Zalophus californianus (California sea lion). RNAcentral describes it as "lncRNA (ENSZCAG00015005409.1)". The record is from RNAcentral. Lineage: Eukaryota; Metazoa; Chordata; Mammalia; Carnivora; Otariidae.